RNAcentral lists this ribosomal RNA (898 nucleotides) under uncultured archaeon. Its description in RNAcentral is "bacterial SSU rRNA". It matches the Rfam family "Archaeal small subunit ribosomal RNA", at positions 29 to 920 of the family's 1478-position model. The record is from RNAcentral.
CCCAUGGGGGGUCGGCUAGCAUGCAGCGGAGGGCGCGGUCGCAAGAUCGUGGCCCCGCACACGGCUCAGUGACACGUAGUCAACCUACCUUUGGGACGGGGACAACCUCGGGAAACUGAGAAUAAUCCCCGAUAGGCGAGAGACGCUGGGAUGCCCUCUCGCUCAAAGCUCCGGCGCCCGAGGAUGGGACUGCGGCCUAUCAGGCUGUUGGUGGUGUGACGGACCACCAAACCUACGACGGGUACGGGCGAUGGGAGUCGGAGCCCGGAGAUGGGGACUGAGACAAGGCCCCAGGUCCUACGGGGCGCAGCAGGCGCGAAAACUCCGCAAUGCGCGCAAGCGUGACGGGGGGACCCCAAGUGCCGUUGGUCUUUUGAUCGACGGCUUUUCGGAAGUCUAAGAAGCUUCCGGAAUAAGGGCUGGGUAAGGCUGGUGCCAGCCGCCGCGGUAACACCAGCAGCCCAAGUGGUGGCCGCGAUUAUUGGGCCUAAAGCGCUCGUAGCCGGAUCAACAAGUCCUUUGUGAAAUCGGGCCGCCCAACGGUUCGGCGUGCAAAGGAUACUGUUGGUCUUGAGGCCGGGAGAGGCUGAAGGUACUCCUGGGGUAGCGGUGAAAUGCUCUAAUCCUAGGGGGACCACCAGUGGCGAAGGCGUUCGACCAGAACGGACCUGACGGUGAGGGGCGAAAGCUAGGGGAGCGAACGGGAUUAGAUACCCCGGUAGUCCUAGCUGUAAAGCAUGCGGGCCAGGUGUCUAGUGCUCCUCGGGGGCGCUAGGUGCCGGAGGGAAGCCGUUAAGCCCGCCGCCUGGGAAGUACGGUCGCAAGGCUGAAACUUAAAGAAAUUGGCGGGGGAGCACCACAAGGGGUGGAACCUGCGGUUCAAUUGGAUUCAACGCCG